This is a long non-coding RNA of Alosa alosa (allis shad), 330 nucleotides long. RefSeq lists it as uncharacterized. Lineage: Eukaryota; Metazoa; Chordata; Actinopteri; Clupeiformes; Clupeidae. The transcript has 3 exons. The record is from RefSeq and is a predicted model, not a curated record.
GUUCUUCCAACCGACGACUUUACUCCUCUUCUGAAGACAUGACCCAUAGUGGAAUGAGCGCAAGUCAUUGACAUUUGCUUUUUUUUUGACAGUUUGCAAAUGGAGUGCAUUACCACCAUCUGCUGGACUGAAAUGUGAUGGCAAGUGUACCCUGUAGCAACACUCCGGCUGCUGGGUGAAUAAGAGAUCAUUUGGAAGGUUUCGGUGGCUAAGCUCACGUGGCAUGUCAUCAUCAACAUCAGAAUGCACUCUUUGGAUUUUCAUUAAGAAUGCCGCGAUGGGGUGCCAGCUGUGGCGCAACUCGCUGGGGCACCUGCACCAUACACCAGC